Molecule: long non-coding RNA, 672 nt
Organism: Sander lucioperca (pikeperch)
Lineage: Eukaryota; Metazoa; Chordata; Actinopteri; Perciformes; Percidae
Exons: 3
Source: RefSeq, a predicted model, not a curated record
CAUUUUGCAAAAUGGAGCUUGUCUUACUUCUCUGUGCCGUUUCUCUUCUGCAUUCAUGUGAAGCACAAGAGUCCAGUGCUGUGACUCCUGUGUUUGUGCAGAAGGGAGAGGAUGUGCUUCUGAAUGUCACAAUAGCUGAUGAUCCUGAAGAAGAUACUGUUACCUGGAAAUUCAAUAAAACAGUUAAUUUAGUACGAUUUUUACCUGGUAAAGAACCAAAAGUCUCUGAUGAUUACUCUGGAAGGAUUGAGUUGCUUGAGAAAUACUCUGUGAAAUUGAAGAAUCUACAAGAGGCAGACAGUGGAGUUUAUACGCAGUAGUGUCUGUGUUAGGCCUACUGCUGCUAGGUAGCUCUCUCUCUGCUCUUCCCCUCCCCUCUGUCUGUUCUUUAUUGCAGGAGUGAAGUCUGGUGUGCGGGAGUCAGGGUUCCAGCUGCAGCUCAUUCACCAUAAUCACCUCAGCCUUAAAUACCCGGUCAACCUUGCCACUCAUCGUCAGAUCAUAGCCAAGAUUUCCACCUAUUCGGAACCCGACUCCUGCCUCCGCUUCACUCCUGCCACCAUCAUCCUGCUUUCCACUACUGGACGUCAUUUGGAUUCACCACGGACACUCGGACAGUACGGUACCACUCCUGCUCAGAACUCUGGAACUGUUUCCCACUCUGUAGACCUG